GACGAACGCUGGCGGCGUGCUUAACACAUGCAAGUCGAACGGUGAAGGGACUGGUUUUGCUGGUCCUGGAUGAGUGGCGACCGGGUGAGUAACACGUGAGUAACCUGCCCCCUUCUUCUGGAUAACCGCAUGAAAGGGUGGCUAAUACGGGAUAUUCUGUGUCUGUCGCAUGGUGGGCCUGGGAAAGAUUGCGCCUUUUUUGGUGUUUUUGGUGGGGGCUGGGCUCGCGGCCUAUCAGCUUGUUGGUGGGGUGUUGGCCUACCACGGCGGUGACGGGUAGCCGGCCUGAGAGGGUGGACGGUCACACGGGGACUGAGACACGGCCCAGACUCACACGGGGGGCAGCAGUGGGGAAUAUUGCACAAUGGGCGAAAGCCUGAGGCAGCGACGCCGCGUGAGAGAUGGAGGCCUUCGGGUUGUGACCCUCUUUCGACAGUGAAGCAGGCCUGCCUCUUUUUGUGCGUGGGUUGACGGUAGCUGGAUAAGAAGCGCCGGCUAACUACGUG
This 506-nucleotide ribosomal RNA is filed under the name uncultured bacterium. RNAcentral's name for it is "partial 16S ribosomal RNA". It matches the Rfam family "Bacterial small subunit ribosomal RNA", at positions 28 to 507 of the family's 1533-position model. The record is from RNAcentral.